Molecule: ribosomal RNA, 868 nt
Filed under: uncultured archaeon
Lineage: Archaea
Description: bacterial SSU rRNA
Rfam family: Archaeal small subunit ribosomal RNA
Source: RNAcentral
CUCCGGUUGAUCCUGCCGGACCCGACUGCUAUCAGAGUGGGACUAAGCCAUGCGAGUCAACAUAGCAAUAUGUGGCAUACGGCUCAGUAACACGUAGUCAACAUGCCCAGGGGACGUGGAUAACCUCGGGAAACUGAGGAUAAACCGCGAUAAGUCACUACUUCUGGAAUGGGUAAUGACUCAAAUCUACAUGGCCCCUGGAUUGGACUGCGGCCGAUCAGGCUGUUGGUGAGGUAAUGGCCCACCAAACCUGUAACCGGUACGGGCUCUAAGAGGAGGAGCCCGGAGAUGGGCACUGAGACAAGGGCCCAGGCCCUAUGGGGCGCAGCAGGCGCGAAACCUCUGCAAUAGGCGAAAGCCUGACAGGGUUACUCUGAGUGAUUUCCGUUAAGGAGAUCUUUUGGCACCUCUAAAAAUGGUGCAGAAUAAGGGGUGGGCAAGUCUGGUGUCAGCCGCCGCGGUAAUACCAGCACCCCGAGUGGUCGGGACGUUUAUUGGGCCUAAAGCAUCCGUAGCCGGUUCUACAAGUCUUCCGUUAAAUCCACCUGCUUAACAGAUGGGCUGCGGAAGAUACUAUAGAGCUAGGAGGCGGGAGAGGCAAGCGGUACUCGAUGGGUAGGGGUAAAAUCCGUUGAUCCAUUGAAGACCACCAGUGGCGAAGGCGGCUUGCCAGAACGCGCUCGACGGUGAGGGAUGAAAGCUGGGGGAGCAAACCGGAUUAGAUACCCGGGUAGUCCCAGCUGUAAACGAUGCAGACUCGGUGAUGAGUUGGCUUAUUGCUAACUCAGUGCCGCAGGGAAGCCGUUAAGUUUGCCGCCUGGGGAGUACGGUCGCAAGACUGAAACUUAAAGGAAUUGGCGGGGGAGCA